RNAcentral lists this ribosomal RNA (480 nucleotides) under uncultured Rhodoferax sp. RNAcentral's name for it is "bacterial SSU rRNA". It matches the Rfam family "Bacterial small subunit ribosomal RNA", at positions 897 to 1382 of the family's 1533-position model. Lineage: Bacteria; Pseudomonadati; Pseudomonadota; Betaproteobacteria; Burkholderiales; Comamonadaceae. The record is from RNAcentral.
AAACUUAAAUGAAUUGACGGGACCCGCACAAGCGGUGGAUGAUGUGGUUUAAUUCGAUGCAACGCGAAAACCUUACCCACCUUUGACAUGUACGGAACCCUUUAGAGAUAGAGGGUGCUCGAAAGAGAGCCGUAACACAGGUGCUGCAUGGCUGUCGUCAGCUCGUGUCGUGAGAUGUUGGGUUAAGUCCCGCAACGAGCGCAACCCUUGUCAUUAGUUGCUACAUUCAGUUGGGCACUCUAAUGAGACUGCCGGUGACAAGCCGGAGGAAGGUGGGGAUGACGUCAAGUCCUCAUGGCCCUUAUAGGUGGGGCUACACACGUCAUACAAUGGCUGGUACAAAGGGUUGCCAACCGCAGGGGGAGCCAAUCCCAUAAAGCCAGUCGUAGUCCGGAUCGUAGUCUGCAACUCGACUACGUGAAGUCGGAAUCGCUAGUAAUCGUGGAUCAGAAUGUCACGGUGAAUACGUUCCCGGGUCUU